GUUGUUAGAGCUUCCUUUAACCUAUUAAAAGAGUCAAAACAAACUUGGUCAAAAUUAAAAGGAACAUGAUGAUUUAACAAAUUUGUAAGAGGUUUAGCAAUUUUUAAAAAAUCCUUUAUAAAUCUCCAGUAGAAACCAGCAUACCCAAGAAAACUUCUAAUUCCUUUCACUAAAGUUGGUGGAGGCAUCUUCUCAAUCACUUCUACAUUGGCCUUGUCCACUUCAAUUCCUCUAUGUAACACCAAAUGUCCAAGAACAAUGCCUUCUUGCACCAUAAAAUGACAUUUCUCCUAAUUUAGCACCAAAUCUGUUUUUUCACAUCUUUUAAGCACUUUAGAGAGGUUAGAUAGACAAUUAUCAAAAGAAAAA
Molecule: unclassified non-coding RNA, 369 nt
Filed under: Hevea brasiliensis (rubber tree)
Lineage: Eukaryota; Viridiplantae; Streptophyta; Magnoliopsida; Malpighiales; Euphorbiaceae
Source: RNAcentral